This 468-nucleotide ribosomal RNA is filed under the name uncultured bacterium. RNAcentral describes it as "partial 16S ribosomal RNA". It matches the Rfam family "Bacterial small subunit ribosomal RNA", at positions 28 to 507 of the family's 1533-position model. The record is from RNAcentral.
GACGAACGCUGGCGGCGUGCUUAACACAUGCAAGUCGAACGGAAAGGCCCUGCUUUUGUGGGGUGCUCGAGUGGCGAACGGGUGAGUAACACGUGAGUAACCUGCCCUUGACUUUGGGAUAACUUCAGGAAACUGGGGCUAAUACCGGAUAGGAGCUCCUGCUGCAUGGUGGGGGUUGGAAAGUUUCGGCGGUUGGGGAUGGACUCGCGGCUUAUCAGCUUGUUGGUGGGGUAGUGGCUUACCAAGGCUUUGUCGGGUAGCCGGCCUGAGAGGGUGACCGGCCACAUUGGGACAGAGAUACGGGCCGGAGUCCUGCGGGAGGCAGCAGUGUGGAAGAAUGCACAAUGGGCGGAAGCCUGAUGCAGCAACGCCGCGUGCUGGAUGACGGCCUUCGUGUUGUAAACCGCUUUCGCCUGUGACGAAGCGUGAGUGACGGUAAUGUGUAAAGAAGCACCGGCUAACUACGUG